UCGAGGGGCAGCACGGGAGUAGCAAUACAACUGGUGGCGACCGGCGCACGGGUGAGUAACGCGUAUGCAACCUACCUAUCAGAGGGGAAUAACCCGGCGAAAGUCGGACUAAUACCGCAUAAAACAGGGGCACCGCAUGGUGAUAUUUGUUAAAGAAAUUCGCUGAUAGAUGGGCAUGCGUUCCAUUAGGUAGUUGGUGAGGUAACGGCUCACCAAGCCGACGAUGGAUAGGGGAACUGAGAGGUUGGUCCCCCACACUGGUACUGAGACACGGACCAGACUCCUACGGGAGGCAGCAGUGAGGAAUAUUGGUCAAUGGGCGGGAGCCUGAACCAGCCAAGUCGCGUGAAGGAAGAAGGAUCUAUGGUUCGUAAACUUCUUUUGCAGGGGAAUAAAGUGCAGGACGUGUCCUGUUUUGUAUGUACCCUGAGAAUAAGGAUCGGCUAACUCCGUGCCAGCAGCCGCGGUAAUACGGAGGAUCCGAGCGUUAUCCGGAUUUAUUGGGUUUAAAGGGUGCGUAGGUGGUUUGAUAAGUCAGCGGUGAAAGUUUGCAGCUUAACUGUAAAAAUGCCGUUGAAACUGUCGGACUUGAGUGUAAAUGAGGUAGGCGGAAUGCGUGGUGUAGCGGUGAAAUGCAUAGAUAUCACGCAGAACUCCGAUUGCGAAGGCAGCUUACUAAGCUACAACUGACACUGAAGCACGAAAGCGUGGGGAUCAAACAGGAUUAGAUACCCUGGUAGUCCACGCAGUAAACGAUGAUUACUAGCUGUUUGCGAUACACAGUAAGCGGCACAGCGAAAGCGUUAAGUAAUCCAC
This 816-nucleotide ribosomal RNA is filed under the name uncultured bacterium. Its description in RNAcentral is "bacterial SSU rRNA". It matches the Rfam family "Bacterial small subunit ribosomal RNA", at positions 62 to 872 of the family's 1533-position model. The record is from RNAcentral.